CGACGUGGGUAACCUGCCUUGUACUGGGGGAUAGCAGCUGGAAACGGCUGGUAAUACCGCAUAAGCGCACAAUGUUGCAUGACAUGGUGUGAAAAACUCCGGUGGCAUAAGAUGGACCCGCGUCUGAUUAGCUAGUUGGUGAGAUAACAGCCCACCAAGGCGACGAUCAGUAGCCGACCUGAGAGGGUGACCGGCCACAUUGGGACUGAGACACGGCCCAG
This 221-nucleotide ribosomal RNA is filed under the name uncultured bacterium. RNAcentral describes it as "partial 16S ribosomal RNA". It matches the Rfam family "Bacterial small subunit ribosomal RNA", at positions 113 to 334 of the family's 1533-position model. The record is from RNAcentral.